UGUCAUACAAAAUCUUGCUUCGGUCUGUUUGAAGACAGUGUUAGUUUCAGUGCAAGAUAGGUGCAAGGUUUGCACAUAAUGCAACAUAGGCUAAGAAACUAUUUUGGACGCACCCGAUGGUAGUCCUAGGUAAAAGGCUCAAGUGAAAGCUCGGUUUGGUCUAUUUUGAGAUAGUGCUAAUCUUGAUGCAAGAUAGAUGCACAGUCUGCGUGAAACGUCCAUAUGCUUAGAAAUUAAUUUGGACACACCC
RNAcentral lists this long non-coding RNA (250 nucleotides) under Sorghum bicolor (sorghum). RNAcentral's name for it is "long non-coding RNA (SBIC_LNC004911)". Lineage: Eukaryota; Viridiplantae; Streptophyta; Magnoliopsida; Poales; Poaceae. The record is from RNAcentral.